GACGAACGCUGGCGGCGUGCUUAACACAUGCAAGUCGAACGCUGAACCCGCUUCGGUGGGGGAUGAGUGGCGAACGGGUGAGUAACACGUGGGCAACCUGCCCCCGGCUCUGGGAUAACUCCAAGAAAUUGGGGCUAAUACCGGAUGUGACCGCUGGCCGCAUGGUCUGGUGGUGGAAAGGGUUUCCGGCUGGGGAUGGGCCCGCGGCCUAUCAGCUUGUUGGUGGGGUAGUGGCCUACCAAGGCGACGACGGGUAGCCGGCCUGAGAGGGUGACCGGCCACACUGGGACUGAGACACGGCCCAGACUCCUACGGGAGGCAGCAGUGGGGAAUAUUGCGCAAUGGGCGGAAGCCUGACGCAGCGACGCCGCGUGGGGGAUGACGGCCUUCGGGUUGUAAACCUCUUUCAGCAGGGACGAAGCGCAAGUGACGGUACCUGCAGGAGAAGCACCGGCCAACUACGUG
Molecule: ribosomal RNA, 465 nt
Filed under: uncultured bacterium
Lineage: Bacteria
Description: partial 16S ribosomal RNA
Rfam family: Bacterial small subunit ribosomal RNA
Source: RNAcentral